UUAUACGACCGUACCGCAAACCGACACUGGUGCGCGAGAUGAGUAUUCUAAGGCGCUUGAGAGAACUCAGGAGAAGGAACUCGGCAAAUUGACACCGUAACUUCGGAAGAAGGUGUGCCCUAUUAGUGUGUAGUGAACAACGAAGCAUGAAUGGGUUGCAAAAAAUCGGUGGCUGCGACUGUUUAUUAAAAACACAGCACUCUGCAAACACGAAAGUGGACGUAUAGGGUGUGACGCCUGCCCGGUGCUGGAAGAUUAAAUGAUGGGGUGCAAGCUCUUGAUUGAAGUCCCAGUAAACGGCGGCCGUAACGAUAACGGUCCUAAGGUAGCGAAAUUCCUUGUCGGGUAAGUUCCGACCUGCACGAAUGGCGUAACGAUGGCCACACUGUCUCCUCCUGAGACUCAGCGAAGUUGAAAUGUUUGUGAUGAUGCAAUCUCCCCGCGGAAAGACGGAAAGACCCCAUGAACCUUUACUGUAGCUUUGUAUUGGACUUUGAACAGAUCUGUGUAGGAUAGGUGGGAGGCUUUGAAGCAGGGUCGCUAGAUCUUGUGGAGCCAACGUUGAAAUACCACCCUGGUGUGUUUGAGGUUCUAACCUAGGUCCAUUAUCUGGAUCGGGGACAGUGCAUGGUAGGCAGUUUGACUGGGGCGGUCUCCUCCCAAAGCGUAACGGAGGAGUUCGAAGGUACGCUAGUUACGGUCGGACAUCGUGACGAUAGUGCAAUGGCAUAAGCGUGCUUAACUGCGAGACUGACAAGUCGAGCAGAUGCGAAAGCAGGACAUAGUGAUCCGGUGGUUCUGUAUGGAAGGGCCAUCGCUCAACGGAUAAAAGGUACUCUGGGGAUAACAGGCUGAUACCGCCCAAGAGUUCAUAUCGACGGCGGUGUUUGGCACCUCGAUGUCGGCUCAUCUCAUCCUGGGGCUGUAGCCGGUCCCAAGGGUAUGGCUGUUCGCCAUUUAAAGAGGUACGUGAGCUGGGUUUAAAACGUCGUGAGACAGUUUGGUCCCUAUCUUCCGUGGGCGCUGCAGAUUUGAGGAAGCCUGCUCCUAGUACGAGAGGACCGGAGUGGACACACCUCUGGUGUAUCGGUUGUCACGCCAGUGGCAUUGCCGAGUAGCUAAGUGUGGAAGAGAUAACCGCUGAAAGCAUCUAAGCGGGAAACUCGUUUCAAGAUGAGAUCUGCCGGGGCCUUGAGCCCCCUAAAGAGUCGUUCAAGACCAGGACGUUGAUAGGUCAGGUGUGGAAGCGAAAA
RNAcentral lists this ribosomal RNA (1253 nucleotides) under metagenome. RNAcentral describes it as "bacterial LSU rRNA". It matches the Rfam family "Bacterial large subunit ribosomal RNA", at positions 1634 to 2879 of the family's 2925-position model. The record is from RNAcentral.